Molecule: ribosomal RNA, 253 nt
Filed under: uncultured bacterium
Lineage: Bacteria
Description: partial 16S ribosomal RNA
Rfam family: Bacterial small subunit ribosomal RNA
Source: RNAcentral
UACGUAGGGUGCGAGCGUUAAUCGGAAUUACUGGGCGUAAAGCGUGCGCAGGCGGUUUUGUAAGUCAGAUGUGAAAUCCCCGGGCUCAACCUGGGAACUGCGUUUGAAACUGCAAGGCUAGAGUAUGGGAGAGGGAGGUAGAAUUCCACGUGUAGCAGUGAAAUGCGUAGAGAUGUGGAGGAAUACCAAUGGCGAAGGCAGCCCCCUGGGCUAACACUGACGCUCAUGCACGAAAGCGUGGGGAGCAAACAGG